Molecule: unclassified non-coding RNA, 374 nt
Filed under: Hevea brasiliensis (rubber tree)
Lineage: Eukaryota; Viridiplantae; Streptophyta; Magnoliopsida; Malpighiales; Euphorbiaceae
Source: RNAcentral
CGCCUCUAUAGCAUCAUUUGUCCUAACCCCCUCCCAAGCAGGUUUACUACCCACAUAGUGGCCAUCUCCCUCUUCAUGACUGUCUAUAAGCUUCGUGGUCUUAAUGUUUAAAACAGAAGUAUCUUCUCUUUCCUCAGUCUCUAUGGGCCUUAUCUUAUCAAACGCAACAUGUGAUUGAUGAGCUGACACCAUCUUAUUUCCCCCAUCAUUACUAUCAUUGCUUUUGCUAGACGGGUAAUCAUCAUGAUCAUAUAUUAUCUCCUCUUUGUGCUCAUCCCAAUCCAAAUCUUUUCUCUCCUCAUCCUCCUUUGUAAGGGUAAUAAUUGAUCUCAGCCGCUUUGAAAUGUUCCCACCAGUCACUUUCUCCUCACUCC